Molecule: ribosomal RNA, 384 nt
Filed under: uncultured eukaryote
Lineage: Eukaryota
Description: partial 18S ribosomal RNA
Rfam family: Eukaryotic small subunit ribosomal RNA
Source: RNAcentral
CAAUAGCGUAUAUUUAAGUUGUUGCAGUUAAAAAGCUCGUAGUUGGAUUUCUGGUGGGAGCGCCCGGUCCUACCCUAACGGGUUGUGUACUGGCGGCGUCUUUCGCCAUCCUUGGGGAGAGCGUUCUGAGCAUUAAGUUGUUUGGUUCGGGAUCCUCAUCUUUUACUGUGAAAAAAUUAGAGUGUUUAAAGCAGGCAAUUGCUGUGAAUACAUUAGCAUGGAAUAAUAAGAUAGGACUUUGGUGCUAUUUUGUUGGUUUGCACACCGAGGUAAUGAUUAACAGGGACAGUUGGGGGUAUUCGUAUUUAAUUGUCAGAGGUGAAAUUCUUGGAUUUAUGAAAGACGAACUACUGCGAAAGCAUUUACCAAGGAUGUUUUCAUUAA